Oncorhynchus nerka (sockeye salmon) is the source of this 665-nucleotide long non-coding RNA. RefSeq lists it as uncharacterized. The record is from RefSeq and is a predicted model, not a curated record. The transcript has 3 exons. NCBI's taxonomy places the organism in Eukaryota, Metazoa, Chordata, Actinopteri, Salmoniformes, Salmonidae.
UGAAUGCCUGGUAGGCUGGUACAGAGAGGAAAGAUGGAAGGUUUCAACAUCAACAAAUGGUUUUUACCCCAGCUUCGAUAUGCACCACUUACACCUCCUUUUGCCGCCUUUCCUUCCAGUUCUCUGCUGCCAAUGACUGGAACGAAUUGCAAAAAUCGCUGAAGUUGGAGACUUAUAUUUCCUUCACUAACUUCAAACAUCAGCUAUCUGAGCAGCUAACCGUUCGCUGAAGCUGUACACAGCCCAUCUUAAUUCCCCCAUGCUCCACCCAUGGCCCUCUGAAGAACUAAACAGACCUGUGCCCUCUGGAGAUCGGAAAAGCCAUUAACCCCUUUGAAGAACUGAACAGUCUGUGCCCAUCUGAAGAACUGUGAAGUCUGUGCCCCUCUGAAGAACUGAAUCCCCUGAUUAAUCCCCAUUUCCCAUAUGCUCUUUCAUCCACUGGUACAUUGAAUGUUUCCUGUCCAAGAACUUCAAAUCCUGUCCUGCCCUUAGUGGAGGAUUUGGGCUCUUCUCCAACACCAUCCAUCCAUCCAUCCAUGAUGAACCUUUUUCUGCACUGAAGCCUCUGAACACCUCAACCCUGUCCUGCACUGAAGUAAAGCCUUUGAACAGCCUUUGAAUUUGACUUAAAUGUCUUUAUUAAACAUUUUAGGUUCAAAUAA